Molecule: ribosomal RNA, 497 nt
Filed under: uncultured bacterium
Lineage: Bacteria
Description: partial 16S ribosomal RNA
Rfam family: Bacterial small subunit ribosomal RNA
Source: RNAcentral
GAUGAACGCUGGCGGCGUGCCUAAUACAUGCAAGUCGAGCGAACAGACAAGGAGCUUGCUCCUCUGACGUUAGCGGCGGACGGGUGAGUAACACGUGGAUAACCUACCUAUAAGACUGGGAUAACUUCGGGAAACCGGAGCUAAUACCGGAUAAUAUAUUGAACCGCAUGGUUCAAUAGUGAAAGACGGUUUUGCUGUCACUUAUAGAUGGAUCCGCGCCGCAUUAGCUAGUUGGUAAGGUAACGGCUUACCAAGGCAACGAUGCGUAGCCGACCUGAGAGGGUGAUCGGCCACACUGAAACUGAGACACGGUCCAGACUCCUACGGGAGGCAGCAGUAGGGAAUCUUCCGCAAUGGGCGAAAGCCUGACGGAGCAACGCCGCGUGAGUGAUGAAGGUCUUCGGAUCGUAAAACUCUGUUAUUAGGGAAGAACAAAUGUGUAAGUAACUAUGCACGUCUUGACGGUACCUAAUCAGAAAGCCACGGCUAACUACGUG